This 382-nucleotide ribosomal RNA is filed under the name uncultured bacterium. RNAcentral describes it as "bacterial SSU rRNA". It matches the Rfam family "Bacterial small subunit ribosomal RNA", at positions 29 to 412 of the family's 1533-position model. The record is from RNAcentral.
AACGAACGCUGGCGGCAUGCCUUACACAUGCAAGUCGAACGGCAGCACGGGAGCAAUCCUGGUGGCGAGUGGCGAACGGGUGAGUAAUAUAUCGGAACGUGCCCAGUCGUGGGGAUAACGUAGCGAAAGCUACGCUACUACCGCAUACGAUCUACGGAUGAAAGCGGGGGAUCGCAAGACCUCGCGCGAUUGGAGCGGCCGAUAUCAGAUUAGGUAGUUGGUGAGGUAAAGGCUCACCAAGCCGACGAUCUGUAGCUGGUCUGAGAGGACGACCAGCCACACUGGGACUGAGACACGGCCCAGACUCCUACGGGAGGCAGGCAGUGGGGGAAUUUUGGACAAUGGGCGCAAGCCUGAUCCAGNAAUNCCGCUGCAGGAUGAA